CAGUUUUCUAAAACACUGCUUGAAAGAGUCAUUGCAUCAAACAGAAUCGACAUUGUUAAUAGUCUGGUGCAUCACGGAGUGAGAUUGACGCCUAUAUAGUCUGAAAAGUAAAGAGCAAGUAUAUAUGAAGUUGCUGGGAGGGAAAGACUAUAGAGAACUUGAAGCUUUCUGAAACACUUCUUGAAAGAGGGAAAGACAAUUCAUCAUUAUAUCUAAAGACAUGCGGGGUUAUUCGUCCGAUUAUGCAUCACUGAGAGAGGUGGCUGCCUCGAGUCUAAAGAGCAAGAUUACUCAAUUAUGAAACUUGACGACUCUUUCUGUUUUUCAAAAGAAAAUGAAACUCAAUUAUUCAAAUAGGAAGAAGAGUUUUAUUGAAGAUAACUAAGAUGUGCUAGCCAACAAAUGCGUUGAG
Molecule: non-coding RNA, 412 nt
Organism: Styela clava
Lineage: Eukaryota; Metazoa; Chordata; Ascidiacea; Stolidobranchia; Styelidae
Source: RefSeq, a predicted model, not a curated record